Molecule: ribosomal RNA, 796 nt
Filed under: uncultured Propionibacteriales bacterium
Lineage: Bacteria; Bacillati; Actinomycetota; Actinomycetes; Propionibacteriales
Description: bacterial SSU rRNA
Rfam family: Bacterial small subunit ribosomal RNA
Source: RNAcentral
CAUGCAAGUCGAACGAACCACAGACCUUCGGGUCUGUGGUUAGUGGCGAACGGGUGAGUAACACGUGAGCAACCUGCCCUUGACACUGGAAUAACAGCUGGAAACAGCUGCUAAUACCGGAUACGACCUCCGAUGGCAUCAUCUGGAGGUGGAAAGCUCCGACGGUCAAGGAUGGGCUCGCGGCCUAUCAGCUUGUUGGUGAGGUAACGGCUCACCAAGGCUUCGACGGGUAGCCGGCCUGAGAGGGCGACCGGCCACACUGGGACUGAGAUACGGCCCAGACUCCUACGGGAGGCAGCAGUGGGGAAUAUUGCACAAUGGGCGAAAGCCUGAUGCAGCAACGCCGCGUGCGGGAUGACGGCCUUCGGGUUGUAAACCGCUUUCAGUUCCGACGAAGGUAACCUGACGGUAGGAACAGAAGAAGGACCGGCCAACUACGUGCCAGCAGCCGCGGUGAUACGUAGGGUCCGAGCGUUGUCCGGAAUUAUUGGGCGUAAAGGGCUUGUAGGCGGUUCGUCGCGUCGGAAGUGAAAACUCAGGGCUUAACCCUGAGCCUGCUUCCGAUACGGGCGAACUAGAGGGAUGCAGGGGAGAACGGAAUUCCUGGUGGAGCGGUGGAAUGCGCAGAUAUCAGGAGGAACACCGGUGGCGAAGACGGUUCUCUGGGCAUUUCCUGACGCUGAGAAGCGAAAGCGUGGGGAGCAAACAGGCUUAGAUACCCUGGUAGUCCACGCCGUAAACGGUGGGCACUAGUGUGGGGGACAUUCCACGUUCUCCGUGCCGCAGCUAACGCAUU